AAGUCAGGUGUGAAAGCCCCGGGCUCAACCUGGGAACUGCAUUUGAAACUGAUUAACUAGAGUAUGGUAGAGGGAGGUGGAAUUUCUGGUGUAGCGGUGAAAUGCGUAGAUAUUGGAAAGAACAUCAAUGGCGAAGGCAGCUUCCUGGACCAAUACUGACGCUGAGGUACGAAAGCGUGGGUAGCAAACAGGAUUAGAUACCCUGGUAGUCCACGCCGUAAACGAUGACAACUAGCUGUUGGGGGAAUUUACCCUUUAGUGGCGCAGCUAACGCUUUAAGUUGUCCGCCUGGGGAGUACGGCCGCAAGGUUAAAACUCAAAUGAAUUGACGG
Molecule: ribosomal RNA, 332 nt
Filed under: uncultured bacterium
Lineage: Bacteria
Description: bacterial SSU rRNA
Rfam family: Bacterial small subunit ribosomal RNA
Source: RNAcentral